UGCCUCCUAUGUGACAUUGAAAGAACAGGUUGUGUUUUAUAUCCUGACUGUUUAGAAGGAGGAGGUACAGUUCCCAUCCCACAGAUAUCUCAGUUCAGGCCCUUUGCCUGCUCUGUAUGUUUAAUGGGUGAUGG
This 134-nucleotide small nucleolar RNA is filed under the name Sorex araneus (European shrew). RNAcentral describes it as "Small nucleolar RNA SNORA51 (ENSSARG00000019461.1)". Lineage: Eukaryota; Metazoa; Chordata; Mammalia; Eulipotyphla; Soricidae. The record is from RNAcentral.